RNAcentral lists this ribosomal RNA (1528 nucleotides) under Limosilactobacillus reuteri. Its description in RNAcentral is "bacterial SSU rRNA". It matches the Rfam family "Bacterial small subunit ribosomal RNA". The record is from RNAcentral. Lineage: Bacteria; Bacillati; Bacillota; Bacilli; Lactobacillales; Lactobacillaceae.
UCAGCGGGGCGGGUGCUAUACAUGCAGUCGUACGCACUGGCCCAACUGAUUGAUGGUGCUUGCACCUGAUUGACGAUGGAUCACCAGUGAGUGGCGGACGGGUGAGUAACACGUAGGUAACCUGCCCCGGAGCGGGGGAUAACAUUUGGAAACAGAUGCUAAUACCGCAUAACAACAAAAGCCACAUGGCUUUUGUUUAAAAGAUGGCUUUGGCUAUCACUCUGGGAUGGACCUGCGGUGCAUUAGCUAGUUGGUAAGGUAACGGCUUACCAAGGCGAUGAUGCAUAGCCGAGUUGAGAGACUGAUCGGCCACAAUGGAACUGAGACACGGUCCAUACUCCUACGGGAGGCAGCAGUAGGGAAUCUUCCACAAUGGGCGCAAGCCUGAUGGAGCAACACCGCGUGAGUGAGAAGGGUUUCGGCUCGUAAAGCUCUGUUGUUGGAGAAGAACGUGCGUGAGAGUAACUGUUCACGCAGUGACGGUAUCCAACCAGAAAGUCACGGCUAACUACGUGCCAGCAGCCGCGGUAAUACGUAGGUGGCAAGCGUUAUCCGGAUUUAUUGGGCGUAAAGCGAGCGCAGGCGGUUGCUUAGGUCUGAUGUGAAAGCCUUCGGCUUAACCGAAGAAGUGCAUCGGAAACCGGGCAACUUGAGUGCAGAAGAGGACAGUGGAACUCCAUGUGAUAACUCCAGUGUAGCGGUGGAAUGCGUAGAUAUAUGGAAGAACACCAGUGGCGAAGGCGGCUGUCUGGUCUGCAAAUGACGCUGAGGCUCGAAAGCAUGGGUAGCGAACAGGAUUAGAUACCCUGGUAGUCCAUGCCGUAAACGAUGAGUGCUAGGUGUUGGAGGGUUUCCGCCCUUCAGUGCCGGAGCUAACGCAUUAAGCACUCCGCCUGGGGAGUACGACCGCAAGGUUGAAACUCAAAGGAAUUGACGGGGGCCCGCACAAGCGGUGGAGCAUGUGGUUUAAUUUGAAGCUACGCGAAGAACCUUACCAGGUCUUGACAUCUUGCGCUAACCUUAGAGAUAAGGCGUUCCCUUCGGGGACGCAAUGACAGGUGGUGCAUGGUCGUCGUCAGCUCGUGUCGUGAGAUGUUGGGUUAAGUCCCGCAACGAGCGCAACCCUUGUUACUAGUUGCCAGCAUUAAGUUGGGCACUCUAGUGAGACUGCCGGUGACAAACCGGAGGAAGGUGGGGACGACGUCAGAUCAUCAUGCCCCUUAUGACCUGGGCUACACACGUGCUACAAUGGACGGUACAACGAGUCGCAAGCUCGCGAGAGUAAGCUAAUCUCUUAAAGCCGUUCUCAGUUCGGACUGUAGGCUGCAACUCGCCUACACGAAGUCGGAAUCGCUAGUAAUCGCGGAUCAGCAUGCCGCGGUGAAUACGUUCCCGGGCCUUGUACACACCGCCCGUCACACCAUGGGAGUUUGUAACGCCCAAAGUCGGUGGCCUAACCUUUAUGGAGGGAGCCGCCUAAGGCGGGACAGAUGACUGGGGUGAAGUCGUAACAAGAGCCAGCCCGACU